GGAUUAUUGGGCGUAAGCGCGCGCAGGCGGUUUCUUAAGUCUGAUGUGAAAGCCCACGGCUCAACCGUGGAGGGUCAUUGGAAACUGGGGAACUUGAGUGCAGAAGAGAAAAGCGGAAUUCCACGUGUAGCGGUGAAAUGCGUAGAGAUGUGGAGGAACACCAGUGGCGAAGGCGGCUUUUUGGUCUGUAACUGACGCUGAGGCGCGAAAGCGUGGGGAGCAAACAGGAUUAGAUACCCUGGUAGUCCACGCCGCCACCCAUGAGUGCUAAAUGUUUAAGGGUUUCCGCC
RNAcentral lists this ribosomal RNA (290 nucleotides) under Priestia flexa. Its description in RNAcentral is "Bacillus flexus partial 16S ribosomal RNA". It matches the Rfam family "Bacterial small subunit ribosomal RNA", at positions 548 to 837 of the family's 1533-position model. The record is from RNAcentral. Lineage: Bacteria; Bacillati; Bacillota; Bacilli; Caryophanales; Bacillaceae.